UUGAGUCUGAGACCCCUGCACUACUCAAUGGGAACUGUUUGACCCAGGACACCGCAAAAGAGCUUUCUAGCAAGGUGGAAGAAGAUAUAAAGGGGGGAAAUGACAUCAUGACAGCACCUCACUCUUCCUACAACAACACACCUGAAAGUACCAGCGGAAAAGGACUGAACUGGGUUGGGGGA
Molecule: long non-coding RNA, 182 nt
Organism: Dermochelys coriacea (leatherback sea turtle)
Lineage: Eukaryota; Metazoa; Chordata; Testudines; Dermochelyidae
Exons: 3
Source: RefSeq, a predicted model, not a curated record